CCGGGGGCGGUACCCGGCGGCUCCACCAUAUGCCCGUCGUUGGAGGGGUGAGGGGCCGAAACAGGAUCGACGAACGUCUAAAGGGGUAUGCUUUGUCCCGGUGAGGUACCACCGUUAUCGGUCCGUAAAGCAUAAUUGCCAACGACAAUCGUGCUCCGGUGGCUCUGGCCGCGUAAGCGGUCGGUAAUACCGAAACUUAAGCCCUUGCGCCUAGCAGCGUAAGGCGGGGUCCGCAGGCACCUGGCAACAGAAGCCUGCACU
RNAcentral lists this transfer-messenger RNA (261 nucleotides) under Pseudooceanicola sp. Its description in RNAcentral is "partial transfer-messenger RNA". It matches the Rfam family "Alphaproteobacteria transfer-messenger RNA", at positions 92 to 355 of the family's 355-position model. Rfam says of the family: Bacterial tmRNA, also known as 10Sa RNA or SsrA, is named for its dual tRNA and mRNA-like properties. Its role is to liberate the mRNA from a stalled ribosome. Lineage: Bacteria; Pseudomonadati; Pseudomonadota; Alphaproteobacteria; Rhodobacterales; Paracoccaceae. The record is from RNAcentral.